AAUCUUCAAUCUACAAACUUCUUAUGGGGUUUGUAGGCUUGGACUUGGAGGCUUGUCGGUCCCUUUACAGGUCGGCUCCUCUUAAAUGCAUUAGCUUGGUUCCUUGCGGAUCGGCUUGUCGGUGUGAUAAUGUCUACGCCGCGACCGUGAAGCGUGUUUGGGCGAGCUUCUAACCGUCUCGUUACAGAGACAACUUUUAUGACCUCUGACCUCAAAUCAGGUAGG
This 225-nucleotide ribosomal RNA is filed under the name Ganoderma gibbosum. RNAcentral's name for it is "partial internal transcribed spacer 2". Lineage: Eukaryota; Fungi; Basidiomycota; Agaricomycetes; Polyporales; Polyporaceae. The record is from RNAcentral.